ACGGGAGGCAGCAGUGGGGAAUAUUGGGCAAUGGGCGAAAGCCUGACCCAGCAACGCCGCGUGAAGGAAGAAGGUCUUCGGAUUGUAAACUUCUUUUAUGAGGGACGAAGGACGUGACGGUACCUCAUGAAUAAGCCACGGCUAACUACGUGCCAGCAGCCGCGGUAAU
RNAcentral lists this ribosomal RNA (169 nucleotides) under uncultured bacterium. RNAcentral describes it as "partial 16S ribosomal RNA". It matches the Rfam family "Bacterial small subunit ribosomal RNA", at positions 341 to 524 of the family's 1533-position model. The record is from RNAcentral.